RNAcentral lists this ribosomal RNA (253 nucleotides) under uncultured bacterium. Its description in RNAcentral is "partial 16S ribosomal RNA". It matches the Rfam family "Bacterial small subunit ribosomal RNA", at positions 524 to 776 of the family's 1533-position model. The record is from RNAcentral.
UACGAAGGGGGCUAGCGUUGCUCGGAAUCACUGGGCGUAAAGGGUGCGUAGGCGGAUCUUUAAGUCAGAGGUGAAAUCCUGGAGCUCAACUCCAGAACUGCCUUUGAUACUGAGGAUCUUGAGUUCGGGAGAGGUGAGUGGAACUGCGAGUGUAGAGGUGAAAUUCGUAGAUAUUCGCAAGAACACCAGUGGCGAAGGCGGCUCACUGGCCCGAUACUGACGCUGAGGCACGAAAGCGUGGGGAGCAAACAGG